Molecule: non-coding RNA, 1316 nt
Organism: Drosophila melanogaster (fruit fly)
Lineage: Eukaryota; Metazoa; Arthropoda; Insecta; Diptera; Drosophilidae
Source: Ensembl
UUGAUCGCCGAAACGAAGAGGAGCACGGCCGUUGAUCGGCUGAGCAGGAACAGCAGCGAGAAGUAAAAGUAGACGGCGUGGGCGGAGGAGGGCAUGGUGCUGAUUAGCAGGAAGAGAAUCAUUUCAAGCUGUGCCAUCGUCUGCAUAACUAACUCACUUGAUGCUCUUGAGGAGCUGCAGGCAGAUGAAGUACAGAUUGCUGCCAAACGAUAUCAGCAUUAUACCGGACACGGCGUCAUCCACCUCCCGUAUGAGCUCUACUAUGGAGCGAUAAAGAGUGCGUGACCACGUCCAAUAGGCUUCCGGCAUGGGCUAUAAAUAUCCAUCCUCGAUCAUGAUGGAUGUGUGUUAGGAAAGUUAGUUAGUUAGCCCACCUGUCGCACCUGCUGCUCCAGGCUGCGGUUCAGCCUGGCCAACAUCUCGCUGAGACCCAUGCCCAGCAUCAUUAGGAAUAUGUCCAUGUAACUCCAGCCGAAGGUGAGCAGCACAUUCUGGAUCUUGCCCAGCCAAGCCAGCCAGUUGGAGUAGGGGAACACUUCGAAUAACUGGGCACUGGCGCCAAGCAAAUAGGAUUCCACGGGAUCGCUUCUUCGUGGGCAGAAGUCGUAGUAAACCACCGAAAUGAUGCUCAGCAGGUGUUCCACUGGAAAAAAAAGCACGCCCGGUUAUACUCAGCGAAAUCCAAACCCAAACAAAUUUGGUGACCCAACUCAGUGAAACUACCAGCAGCACGAAGGCCACCAACUUGAGGCGACGGGCAGGACGAGCACGUUGCAGGCAACAGGUGUAGCCCGGUAGCCGUCGCUCCACCGCCGCCCAGUGGCGCAUCAAUCCAGGCCAGAGUUGGGCCAGGUUCAGGAACUGCCAGGAGGCGAUCAGGAUGCUAACGUGAAAAACGAUGGGCUCUAAAUGCACACUGUGGGCCACACGGCGAAUGCUGAAGGCCAGAUCCACCGACGUGGAGCAGAGGUACAAGGAGCUGUACCAGAAUCGCCAGCUGCGCCGAUUGAAGCUUAAUCCCCUGUACGUUGGAGCACUGAUUCCACACACGGGCAUUAGGCAAAAGCACUGGGCCACCGCCAGAACUGGAGCAACUGCCUCAUGGAAGGAGCCAUCGUGUAGGAAGUUCUUUCGCGUUCCCCGCACCUGGCUUUCUGGAUUGUAAAAGAUGCCGAACAGCACGAUUGCACCGAUUUCGCCCUUUCAGCUGUCGCAUUGUGUACAAGCUCUAAAUCCUGACUAAACGGCAAAAAUGCAGCAGGAUAUCAUAGAAGUCCACAUGUUAUCAACUAAUGGCCAGUGAUGAGGAAUAAAAC